Molecule: long non-coding RNA, 223 nt
Filed under: Malus domestica (apple)
Lineage: Eukaryota; Viridiplantae; Streptophyta; Magnoliopsida; Rosales; Rosaceae
Description: long non-coding RNA (MDOM_LNC018089)
Source: RNAcentral
GAAGUUUUAAUUCACUAAGUGAUUGGAUUAAAUAUAAUCAAUUGGAUUGAUGUCAAUCACCUCACUGCCCUUGCUAAUUAGAACCUAAAAUGAUUGUACACCGAUACACUCUUGUAGUGAGUAAUUAAUGGAUGAUGAAAAUAAUUAAUUGGAUUAAUUAAGUGUUGUGAUUUGUUUGUACCAUACUUGACCAAUCCCGAAACUACCGAGCACCGGCCAACGC